Molecule: long non-coding RNA, 3332 nt
Organism: Polypterus senegalus (gray bichir)
Lineage: Eukaryota; Metazoa; Chordata; Cladistia; Polypteriformes; Polypteridae
Exons: 3
Source: RefSeq, a predicted model, not a curated record
CCUAGGCGUCGGGAAAUGGGUGUCUACCUGAGGCCGACGCUGCUCGGGAUCGAUUGGCAUUGUUCACCAUCAAUCAUUGCCAGUGCUACAGCAUCCAUUGGCAAUGGCUAGAAGACAUGCUGAAGAUCAAAUGGUAUGGGGGUUACUCCUGCACAAGGGGAUUCCAGAGACCAGCAUGGAAAAGCUAUGUGAAUGACUUCAGCUGCCAAUCACAACAGUUACAAGGGUGUUUAGAUGGCUGUCAUUUAGGUCAGCAAGGUCAACUUCAGAGAGCUGAGGAUGGGAUCCAUAUAAGUGCACAAACCCUACUUUUCUCUCCACUUGUUGGUUCAGCUGAGCUUAACAGGUUAAUCCGGACUCUGGUAACCCUUUUCAGUCCUUGUACAAAGUAUCUCAACAGGGGCUGCAACAAGUUAUAAUUGCUUACAAGCAAUACAGUGAAGAUUUGCUGUGGAAUUUGCCGGAUAUCAUUAGUUAAAUCUGCUAAUAUUAACCUUCAUAACAAAUCCCUUUACCUAGUCUUCCUGAAAUAGUAAAAAACUGCAAUCACGAUGCAAUAUAAACAUACUGACCUAAAAAUCAGUGAUGUUCCCAGUACCUGACAUAUGACAGAGAGAUGUCCAAGCUAGUAUUAUUAAAAUUGUAAUAACUUUAAUAAUAAUAAUAAUAAAUUUUAUUUAUAUAGCGCCUUUCCCAUGCUCAAGGCACUUAGAGAAUAUAAGAAAGAAUGGCAGGGUAUACAGUAUAUAGCAUAUAUAUAACUUUAUUUAAUUCUGCUAAACUUUAACUUUUUCUGUAGUAUUGUUUAAAGGUUUGUGCAUAUUUUCUGUUUCUGGCGGAGGUGUCCUCCUCUAGCUAACUCAUUUCCAUACAAUAAGUAGGUUUGGAGGGGAAACACAGGUCAACUUUAACAGAAGUUAUUCAGAUGGUGUCUUACUCAGGCCAGUUUCUCAUGCUGAAGAGAGUUCAUGGGAUUUACAGCCCAGGUGUGUUGUCAAAGCAAGCAGUUUCUACACUGAAAUGGUUAAAGUUUAAACUUAAAGCUGAAGAAAGGUUGAAGUUAUCUGGCUUUUGUUUAAAAUGUAUUGAUUGACAAAAAUAGUUUUGCAUUAUAUUACAAAUCCACUUCUUGAAGUGCAUCUUAUCUUCACAAGGAUCUGAAUUAAAUUAUGUUUUAGCAUAUGAAAUUAUUUGUAUCUUUUCCUAACUGUUAGUAUUGAUUACUAAUUAUAUAAUUUACUUUGCUCUGUAUGAUUUUGACAUGCUACAGCAGGGCAUAAGCAAUGCACAGGUAAAUUAUAUCAGAAGUUUUUGGUUAUAUAUUAUUAUAUUGUCUAUAUUACCAGCAUAUAUAUCAAGGAAUUAGCUAAGCAGAUGAUGUCCGAUUAAAUAAUAAAAUAAUACAUAUAUAGUUACAAAAUUUCCACAUUUUCUAUUGCAAGUUUGAAUCAUAUAAAAAUAAUACCUAUUUAAGAAAAUUCAUACAAAAAGCACAAAAAAAGUUUACAAUUGUAGGCUGGGUCAUGUGAAUAGUUGUUUCUGACCUUUCAACCUCUGAUGACCCCAGCUCCUUGUAAACUUGCAGUGAAGUCUUGGAAAACAGACACACAGAUGUUUUUUUUUAGAAAUUGAAAUUUGCCUUUUCUGCUUUUAACCAAUCUGUUCAUAGAAAAUUUUUCCAGGAUUCUUGAGUAUAUUCCAACUGAAUGUUAGCAGCUUUCAGGUGUCCUUAUUACUUUCAUCUUGUUACUCUGCUAAGAAUAUGGUUUUUGCUCAAAGUUAUGGUGUUACUAGCCCUAACCUAGGCCAAAGGAAUGGUCUAGUACAGAUCCCUAGAUAUUUUUAUGGGUGAUUUAUGAUGUCAUGAAAUAUUUUAAACUUUGAUCUGAAAGUUAAUCCUGUAAAGUUUGACUACACUCUCAAACCUUGUCCAUUUGGUGGUUCUGGGGACCCCCAAACUUAUUUCCUGACCAACAGAGGUGAAAAAACUUUUUUUCCCCCAGAAGCAUUCAGGAGUUAAUUUUUUCAUGACAUAAUGCAGCUCUGAGGACCACUAUACUUCUAUACUUGCUUAAUUAUGUACAUUCUAUAUUACCGUUGCAUACUGUACUGUUGAUUCUUUUGUGCUCUUCUCUUUGCUUUUGCAGUGACAUACACUUUGAGAUACUUCCCAGCUGUUGUUAAGUAUGUAAUUGCUGUUGCCAAGUAUGGACAUGCAAACAUUGAUUUUGAUGUUACCUGUGUCAUUACAUAAGGGCAAAAGCUGCAUAUGCCUCCCACCUGAACUUUUCAAAAGGAAAAUACAAUCACCAUCUUUGUCAGUUCAAAGUAUAUGAGGAUUCACUUCUCUUUGCAGUGAAAAUGGAAAAGUAAAAAGCAAGAUUUUAUUUUUAUUGAUUCUUCAUUUUUGUUAUCGGCUGGUUUUCCUCCUAAUGGUUUUCUUUUGUGCUGGUUGUAAACAAGGAGCUUAACUAACAGUAGCAGGAGUUAGAAAUCUUUUUGCCACAAAGCAGGUAAAUUAGAGAGAACAGCAGAGUACAGCAUGCUUCUCGAGAAUGCAGCUCCAAACUGCCCUGCAGAAGACUCCUGCCCCACUGGGACUCUUCAGCUAAUUAUAAAAGCAGAUGUGCUGAGGCAAGUGAAAUCCCUGGCUUUGUUUCUAUGAUGAUAUUUGCUAACAUCUUACAAACUUAAAGGAGAAACACAUGAACCUUAUUAUACCCACCAUAAAAUUAAUUCAAAUACAUAAUGCACCUAAAAGUAUUAUUUAGUGUUAGGAUUAAUUCUUCAAUUAAAGUGUAUAUUGAUAUGAAUCAUUACAGACAUAAUAUUUAUGCGGGGCAUUUUAUAGGAAACACCACAUAAGUACAUGGGCAUCAUAAAAAAUGAUGUUCUUACUUUAUAAAUAGAUGGUGUAAAUUGUCCACUGUUUUGUAGUGACCAUGAACAGGGAUUUGAGCCUUCAGAUACAGUAUGUGGCUUGAUGUGCUAAUUUUAAGGUCCAUGGGCAAUAAUGUAUAUAUUAUUUAAAGGCAGAAAACAAAAAGAACUUAUAGAAUUACUUUAUGGAAAAGAUGUAAACUUUGAAAAAUUAAGGUACUAUGUUAUAUUUGUCUUGUAUAAAUGAGUAUAUUCCCAUAUGAACAGCAUUUUCUAACAUUCAAACAUGGUUACAAAUUAGUCUCCCUGAUGUCAGCAUGCUUCCAGAAUAAUUUUGUAUUACUAUUGUGACACAUGUGUGCUUGGUGGGCAACUUCAGGGCUCAUUCAAUGGUGUUUCUGCUCAGUGCCUCUGGGUAGCACUGUAUCUAAUUGCAUCGUCUCUUCUUCCCU